Molecule: ribosomal RNA, 497 nt
Filed under: uncultured bacterium
Lineage: Bacteria
Description: partial 16S ribosomal RNA
Rfam family: Bacterial small subunit ribosomal RNA
Source: RNAcentral
GAUGAACGCUGGCGGCGUGCUUAACACAUGCAAGUCGAACGGUGAAGCGCCUUCCUUUUUCGUGGGUGUUGAUGGGUGGCGAAGGGGUGAGUAACACGUGAGCAACCUGCCACCUUCUGCUUGAUUACGGCAAGAAAGUGUGGCUAAUGCGGGAUAUUUUGAGCCGGUCGCAUGAAUGGUCAGGGAAGGAUUUGGUUUCGGUGGUGGAUGGGCCCGCGGCGCAUUAGCUAGUUGGUGAGGUAAUGGCUUACCAAGGCAGUGAUGCGUAGCCGGCCUGAGAGGGGGAUCGGCGACAAUGGAAGUGAGACACGGUCCAGACUCCUACGGGAGGCAGCAGUAGGGAAUAUUCCGCAACGGGCGGAAGCCGGAUGGAGCAACGCCGCGGGAUGGAUGAUGGACUUCGGAUCGUAAAACACUGUUAUUAGGGAAGAACAAAUGUGGAAUUAUCUGUGCACGUCUUGACGGUACCUAAUCAGAAAGCCACGGCUAACUACGUG